This 735-nucleotide ribosomal RNA is filed under the name Pseudomonas sp. enrichment culture clone R2. Its description in RNAcentral is "bacterial SSU rRNA". It matches the Rfam family "Bacterial small subunit ribosomal RNA", at positions 637 to 1369 of the family's 1533-position model. The record is from RNAcentral. Lineage: Bacteria; Pseudomonadati; Pseudomonadota; Gammaproteobacteria; Pseudomonadales; Pseudomonadaceae.
CGAGCUAGAUCCGUGAGGGGUAGUGGAAUUCCCUGUGACGCGGUGAAAUGGUGUGUAUAUGGGAGGGACCCCCGUGGGCGAGGGCGACUCCCGGGAUUGAUACUGCCACUGAGGUGCGGAAAGCGUGGGGAGCCAACAGGGAUUAGAUUCCCUGGUAGUCCACGCCCGUAAACGAUGUCAACUAGCCGUUGGGUACCUUGAGUACUUAGUGGCGCAGCUAACGCAUAAAGUUGACCGCCUGGGGAGUACGCGCGCACGGUUAAAACUCAAAUGAAUUGACGGGGGGCCGCACAAGCGGUGGAGCAUGUGUUUUAUUUCGAAGGCACCGCGGAGGAGCCUUACCUGGCCUUGACAUGCUGAGAACUUUCCAGAGAUGGAUUGGUGCCUUCUGGAACUCAGACACAGGUGUGCAUGGCUGUCGUCAGCUCGUGUCGUGAGAUGUGGGUUAAGUCUCGUAACGAGCGCAACCCUUGUCCUUAGUUACCAGCACGUUAUGGUGGGCACUUUUAAGGAGACUCCCGGUGCCAAACCGGAGGAAGGUGGGGAUGACGUCAAUUCAUCAUGGCCCUUACGGCCAGGGCUACACACGUGCUACAAUGGUCGGUACAAAGGGUUCCCAAGCCGCGAGGUGGAGCUAAUCCCAUAAAACCGUUCUUAUUCCUUAUCCCAUUCUCCAACUCGCCUCCGGAAGUCGGAAUCGCUAGUAAUCGGAAUCAGAAGUCACAUGCAAAUCAC